This 1053-nucleotide long non-coding RNA is filed under the name Oryzias javanicus (javanese ricefish). Its description in RNAcentral is "lncRNA (ENSOJAG00000001159.1)". The record is from RNAcentral. Lineage: Eukaryota; Metazoa; Chordata; Actinopteri; Beloniformes; Adrianichthyidae.
AUGGAGCGGCGUCCUAAGACAGAGCGGUGUCCUAAGACAGAGAGGUGUCCUGCGAUGGAGCGGUGUCCUGAGACAGAGCAGCGUCCUGAGACAGAGCAGCGUCCUGCAACAGAGCGGUGUCCUGAGACAGAGCAGGGUCCUGAGACAGAGCAGCGUCCUGCAACAGAGCGGUGUCCUGCGACAGAGCGGUGUCCUGAGACAGAGCAGGGUCCUGAGACAGAGCAGCGUCCUGCAACAGAGCGGUGUCCUGCAACAGAGCGGUGUCCUGCGACAGAGCGGUGUCCUGAGACAGAGCAGGGUCCUGAGACAGAUUGUAGUCCUGCGACAGAGCAGCAUCCUGCGACAGAGCAGCGUCCUGCGACAGAGCAUCGUCCUGCAACAGAGAGGUGUCCUGCGACAGAGCGGUGUCCUGAGACAGAGCAGCGUCCUGAGACAGAGAGGUGUCCUGAGACAGAGCAACGUCCUGCAACAGAGCAACGUCCUGCCACAGAGAGGUGUCCUGCGACAGAGAGGUGUCCUGAGACAGAGCGGUGUCCUGAGACAGAGCAGUGUCCUGAGACAGAGAGGUGUCCUGAGACAGAGCAGCGUCCUGAGACAGAGCGGUGUCCUGAGACAGAGCAGCGUCCUGAGACAGAGCGGUGUCCUGAGACAGAGCAGUGUCCUGAGACAGAGAGGUGUCCUGAGACAGAGCAGCGUCCUGAGACAGAGAGGUGUCCUGAGACAGAGCAGCGUCCUGAGACAGAGAGGUGUCCUGAGACAGAGCAGCGUCCUGCAAGGAUGUGGUGUCCUGAGACAGAGCAACGUCCUGAGACAGAUCGUAGUCCUGCGACAGAGCAGUGUCCUGCCACAGAGAGGUGUCCUGAGACAGAGCAACGUCCUGCAACAGAGCAACGUCCUGCCACAGAGAGGUGUCCUGCGACAGAGAGGUGUCCUGAGACAGAGCAACAUCCUGCAACGGUGUGGUGUCCUGCGACAGAGAGGUGUCCUGCAACAGGGCAGUGUCCUGUGACAGAGGUGGUCUGUGACACAGAGAGUUGUUCAGCGAUAAAGUGA